RNAcentral lists this ribosomal RNA (264 nucleotides) under uncultured Oscillospiraceae bacterium. RNAcentral describes it as "partial 16S ribosomal RNA". It matches the Rfam family "Bacterial small subunit ribosomal RNA", at positions 76 to 339 of the family's 1533-position model. The record is from RNAcentral. Lineage: Bacteria; Bacillati; Bacillota; Clostridia; Eubacteriales; Oscillospiraceae.
UCCAAUUGAAGCAGAGGACAGUGGCGGACGGGUGAGUAACGCGUGAGGAACCUGCCUUUCAGAGGGGGACAACAGUUGGAAACAACUGCUAAUACCGCAUAACGCAUAGAAGUCGCAUGGCUUUUAUGCCAAAGAUUUAUCGCUGAAAGAUGGCCUCGCGUCUGAUUAGCUAGUUGGUGAGGUAACGGCCCACCAAGGCGACGAUCAGUAGCCGGACUGAGAGGGUGAUCGGCCACAUUGGAACUGAGAUACGGUCCAGACUCC